GGGCCCGCACAAGCGGUGGAGUAUGUGGUUUAAUUCGAUGCAACGCGAAGAACCUUACCAGGGCUUGACAUCCUGCGAACCUCUGGGAAACCGGAGGGUGCCUUCGGGAACGCAGUGACAGGUGGUGCAUGGCUGUCGUCAGCUCGUGUCGUGAGAUGUUGGGUUAAGUCCCGCAACGAGCGCAACCCACGUCUUUAGUUGCCAGCAUUUAGUUGGGCACUCUAGAGAGACCGCCGGUGACAAACCGGAGGAAGGUGUGGAUGACGUCAAGUCAUCAUGCCCCUUACGUCCUGGGCUACACACGUACUACAAUGCUACGGACAAAGAGCAGCUAACUCGCGAGAGUACGCAAAUCUCAUAAACCGUGGCUCAGUUCAGAUCGUAGGCUGCAACUCGCCUACAUGAAGUUGGAAUCGCUAGUAAUCGC
RNAcentral lists this ribosomal RNA (427 nucleotides) under uncultured bacterium. Its description in RNAcentral is "bacterial SSU rRNA". It matches the Rfam family "Bacterial small subunit ribosomal RNA", at positions 917 to 1345 of the family's 1533-position model. The record is from RNAcentral.